GCCUUUGUGGUGUAGUGGUCAGCACGCUCGGCCCGUGACCGACAGGUACGUGGUUCGAUUCCGGCGAAGGUG
This 72-nucleotide transfer RNA is filed under the name Stegodyphus mimosarum. It matches the Rfam family "tRNA". Rfam says of the family: Transfer RNA (tRNA) molecules are approximately 80 nucleotides in length. Their secondary structure includes four short double-helical elements and three loops (D, anti-codon, and T loops). Lineage: Eukaryota; Metazoa; Arthropoda; Arachnida; Araneae; Eresidae. The record is from Rfam by way of RNAcentral.